GGCCGCCAGAGCGGGGUAGCGGUAUGAAGAGCAACACGUCAUUUGCAAGGUUGCUAGGGAAUGAAGCUAAAGCUACCAUAGGAAUGAUGGGGAGCAGUCUGCUUGGAGGCCAAGAAAGCUGUCCAGUAUCACUUUGUGGUUCUCGACCCUCCAAAAUAAGCUGUGUGGAAAGGGUGCUUGGAGUUGACUGUUGUCAUCCUCCCCUCUGCUGUUGACUCCAGUCAGUUUAUAACAAUAACAGUCUUGUACCCAUCCUUACAGGUCAAUGUUUUCAUGUUGUAAGUCACAUGUGCUGAUGUAUCCACCUAAAGUAGCAGCGUAGUAUGUUUUCACCACUUCGACACUUUUCCCCAGAAGAUAAGUCGGAUUCAUGCUUCUUUUCUUUAAAAUCCACCACCACCACAUCACCUGUCAUCCCCUGACUUUAGUGUAACCUCUAGUGAAGAGUCAUGUGAGAAAUGAAUACAAGUUACUAAAUUACAAGAAAGAAAAUAAGUGUUAAAGGUAUAAAAGGUAUUUCUCCAACUGGGUGUUGACUGAAUACAAACAAUUACUAUUGGUAUACAAGUCAUUAUACACACACAUAUACUAAAAUACUUCCAAUUUGUAUUGAAGUAACAUAAUAAAUUUACUAAAAUCAUGUGUGUUUUUCAUUUUUAUAUUGACUACUUGGGACGUAUAUUGAAGGUUAUUCAUAUAUUAAACCUAAUCAGU
Long non-coding RNA from Triplophysa rosa, 714 nucleotides. RefSeq lists it as uncharacterized. The transcript is spliced from 3 exons. The record is from RefSeq and is a predicted model, not a curated record. Lineage: Eukaryota; Metazoa; Chordata; Actinopteri; Cypriniformes; Nemacheilidae.